Molecule: long non-coding RNA, 222 nt
Filed under: Eucalyptus grandis
Lineage: Eukaryota; Viridiplantae; Streptophyta; Magnoliopsida; Myrtales; Myrtaceae
Description: long non-coding RNA (EGRA_LNC007357)
Source: RNAcentral
CUUAAGAAUCCCUAACGAUAGCGUUGGAAUUUGAACUCCUCCCCUCCCGGAUGAGGGUGAGAGCGCAAAGCCAGCGCUACCGCUGUGGGCGGUUGUUGAUUUCUUGAUAGCCAGAAUCCGCCAAGUGGUGUCUUUUUAAGCAAUGGCUCUGUGUGGCCCCGACGGUGGGAGAGUCAUAAAAGGGCGGAGGUGGCGGCUGCGGCAGCUUAAGCCUCAGCUGUU